RNAcentral lists this ribosomal RNA (253 nucleotides) under uncultured bacterium. Its description in RNAcentral is "partial 16S ribosomal RNA". It matches the Rfam family "Bacterial small subunit ribosomal RNA", at positions 524 to 776 of the family's 1533-position model. The record is from RNAcentral.
UACGUAGGGUCCGAGCGUUGUCCGGAUUUAUUGGGCGUAAAGAGCUCGUAGGCGGUCUGUCGCGUCGGCUGUGAAAACUCGGGGCUCAACCCCGAGCCUGCAGUCGAUACGGGCAGACUAGAGUGCUGUAGGGGAGACUGGAAUUCCUGGUGUAGCGGUGAAAUGCGCAGAUAUCAGGAGGAACACCGGUGGCGAAGGCGGGUCUCUGGGCAGUAACUGACGCUGAGGAGCGAAAGCGUGGGGAGCGAACAGG